Long non-coding RNA from Dicentrarchus labrax (European seabass), 443 nucleotides. RefSeq lists it as uncharacterized. The record is from RefSeq and is a predicted model, not a curated record. The transcript has 5 exons. NCBI's taxonomy places the organism in Eukaryota, Metazoa, Chordata, Actinopteri, Moronidae.
CCUGGUCCUUCAGAGUCCUCCUUGUACAGGUCUGACUGAGGUCCUGGUCCUUCAGAGACCUUGUACAGGUCUGACUGAGGUCCUGGUCCUUCAGAGUCCUUCUUGUACAGGUCUGACUGAGGUCCUGGUCCUUCAGAGUCCUCCUUGUACAGGUCUGACUGAGGUCCUGGUCCUUCAGAGUCCUCCUUGUACAGGUCUGACUGAGGUCCUGGUCCUUCAGAGUCCUCCUUGUACAGGUCUGACUGAGGUCCUGGUCCUUCAGAGACCUUGUACAGGUCUGACUGAGGUCCUGGUCCUUCAGAGACCUCCUUGUACAGGUCUGACUGAGGUUCUCCUUCUGGGAUCAAUAAAGGAUCUUAUAAUGUUUUAUAUAUUUAUAGUUGUAUAUAGUUAAACAUAUAAAGUAUUUAUUGUGUUUAUAUAAUAAUUAUAUCGUUAUAUAA